This 439-nucleotide ribosomal RNA is filed under the name uncultured bacterium. RNAcentral describes it as "bacterial SSU rRNA". It matches the Rfam family "Bacterial small subunit ribosomal RNA", at positions 43 to 520 of the family's 1533-position model. The record is from RNAcentral.
CAGGCCUAACACAUGCAAGUCGAACGGAGUACUUCGGUACUCAGUGGCGGACGGGUGAGUAACGCGUGAGAAUCUGGUCUAGGGUUCGGGACAACCACGGGAAACUGUGGCUAAUACCGGAUGUGCCGCAAGGUGAAAGAGAAAUCGCCCAAGAAUGAGCUCGCGUCUGAUUAGCUAGUUGGUGGGGUAAGAGCCCACCAAGGCGACGAUCAGUAGCUGGUAUGAGAGGACGAUCAGCCACACUGGGACUGAGACACGGCCCAGACUACCUACGGGAGGCAGCAGUGGGGAAUUUUCCGCAAUGGGCGAAAGCCUGACGGAGCAAUACCGCGUGAGGGAGGAAGGCGACUUGGGUUGUAAACCUAUUUUACUACAGGGAAGAACAAAAUGACGGUACCUGAGGAAUCAGCAUCGGCUAACUCCGUGCCAGCAGCCGCGG